This 451-nucleotide ribosomal RNA is filed under the name uncultured bacterium. Its description in RNAcentral is "bacterial SSU rRNA". It matches the Rfam family "Bacterial small subunit ribosomal RNA", at positions 29 to 524 of the family's 1533-position model. The record is from RNAcentral.
AACGAACGCUGGCGGCAUGCCUAACACAUGCAAGUCGAACGAAGCCUUCGGGCUUAGUGGCGCACGGGUGCGUAACACGUGGGAAUCUGCCCUUCGGUUCGGAAUAACAGUUAGAAAUGACUGCUAAUACCGGAUGAUGACGUAAGUCCAAAGAUUUAUCGCCGAAGGAUGAGCCCGCGUAAGGGUUAGGUAGUUGGUAGGGUAAUGGCCUACCAAGCCGACGAUCCUUAGCUGGUCUGAGAGGAUGAUCAGCCACACUGGGACUGAGACACGGCCCAGACUCCUACGGGAGGCAGCAGUGGGGAAUAUUGGACAAUGGGCGAAAGCCUGAUCCAGCAAUGCCGCGUGAGUGAUGAAGGCCUUAGGGUUAUAAAGCUCUUUUACCAGGGACGAUAAUGACAGUACCUGGAGAAUAAGCUCCGGCUAACUCCGUGCCAGCAGCCGCGGUAAU